RNAcentral lists this ribosomal RNA (468 nucleotides) under uncultured bacterium. Its description in RNAcentral is "partial 16S ribosomal RNA". It matches the Rfam family "Bacterial small subunit ribosomal RNA", at positions 28 to 507 of the family's 1533-position model. The record is from RNAcentral.
GACGAACGCUGGCGGCGUGCUUAACACAUGCAAGUCGAACGGAAAGGCCCUGCUUUUGUGGGGUGCUCGAGUGGCGAACGGGUGAGUAACACGUGAGUAACCUGCCCUUGACUUUGGGAUAACUUCAGGAAACUGGGGCUAAUACCGGAUAGGAGCUCCUGCUGCAUGGUGGGGGUUGGAAAGUUUCGGCGGUUGGGGAUGGACUCGCGGCUUAUCAGCUUGUUGGUGGGGUAGUGGCUUACCAAGGCUUUGACGGGUAGCCGGCCUGAGAGGGUGACCGGCCACAUUGGGACUGAGAUACGGCACAGAGUCCUACGGGAGGCAGCAGUGGGGAAGAUUGCACAAUGGGCGGAAGCCUGAUGCAGCAACGCCGCGUGCGGGAUGACGGCCUUCGGGUUGUAAACCGCUUUCGCCUGUGACGAAGCGUGAGUGACGGUAAUGGGUAAAGAAGCACCGGCUAACUACGUG